UACGAAGGGGGCUAGUGUUGCUCGGAUUGACUGGGCGUAAAGGGCGCGUAGGCGGUUCGUACAGUCAGACGUGAAAUUCCUGGGCUCAACCUGGGGGCUGCGUUUGAUACGUGCGGACUUGAGUGCAGAAGAGGGUCGUGGAAUUCCCAGUGUAGAGGUGAAAUUCGUAGAUAUUGGGAAGAACACCGGUGGCGAAGGCGGCGACCUGGUCCGAUACUGACGCUGAGGCGCGAAAGCGUGGGGAGCAAACAGG
RNAcentral lists this ribosomal RNA (253 nucleotides) under uncultured bacterium. Its description in RNAcentral is "partial 16S ribosomal RNA". It matches the Rfam family "Bacterial small subunit ribosomal RNA", at positions 524 to 776 of the family's 1533-position model. The record is from RNAcentral.